ACAUGGUUCAGGAUGGGGGAGCCUUUGAUACUUCCAAGGCGUGAGGGAUAUCUUGGAUACUACUUGGAGGGCAUUACAUCCAGGCGCCCCGGUUAGAUCCACCUGGCAGAACCAUGCCGCAAUCUGAAGUAAUGCCUAUUUUUGUAUGUAGUUUUUAAUAGCUCGGUCUGUGUUACCUUCCGCUUUUCCUCCUCAGGCUCAUAUUUUGGCAAGAAGCAGUUGUCAUCACGUUUUUAGGUCUGAGGGGUCUCCAUUAGAUUUUGGUGCCUGUCUCCAUUUUGUGAGCAUCUAGUCAUAUUCAGCAUCUGUCUGCACUCAGGUCUGCUGUAACUGUUGUGCGGUUUUGGCUUAAGACUUCAUAGCGCAGUGUUAUCUAAUAGUAGCAUUCCGUAUGUAAGUGUCUUCCGGCAGCCCAGUGUCAUGUCCUGUUUACGUUGGCACUCUCAUUUGAGCAUACUGUCUACUGAGGGGUUCUCCGUGCUGCAGUUCGUGAAGUCAUUUAAGAGUUAUUUAUCCAUAAAGGGAAAGUCUGUCAUUACACCAGCCACAGUCAUUUGCUACCCAUACCUCUUUUGGUGUUUGCUGGCCUGAGUUUUUGAGCUCUGUCAGUCUCUACCUAUACUGGAGUCAUCUGGCAGUAACUGUAAUUUUUGUGUGUUGGUAGUUGAACUUACUCUUGCAGUUUAAGUAAUAAGUCUAGGCUAAGCAGGACAGUCGAGCGAGGCACGACAGCAAAAGCAAGUAGAUGGUGUUGCGGGCCACAAUGGUGGAGGUGAGGUUGAUUGCUUGGGUUGUGUGCUUUUGGGGUCUCUUUGUGUUGCCUGAGUACGUAAGUCAGUCAAAGGGAUUUGUUACUCUGUUUUGCAUGGCAGGCUCUCUUUUUCGGAAAGCAGUAUAUAACAUCUGUGUGCUUCUCUGCAUUUUCCUGAGGGAGGCCCGGCAUCGAAGGUUAUGGUUCCUGAGACAUCGGAGAUGGAUGGACUGUACGAAUGGGUGCCUGACACAGCCACUGACCCCACAGGCACAGCAUGGGAAGCGAGCAGAGCCAUGUUAGCCUUCUGCGGGAAAGGGUGUGUUAGCCUGCUGGGGGAAAGCCUGGACGUGGCUGGUGGGGCAGGGGAAAGAAGAGGGAUGGGUGCAUACUUUUUGUGGGCAUUACUGUUUUUCUUUUUCUUGAACUAGCUCAUGUAGCUGACUCAGCAUGGUGGAUGGGAGUGCAAAGCACCGAUUGAGAAGAUGCACAGCAGGGAGCUGGAUGCUGAAGAGAGAAGGCAAGUGGAACACCAUAAGAACGUUGGUUGGCACGCAACAGUGGAAGGAACAGUUCCAUUGUUGGUGCCUAUAUGACCUGUUAACACUCUGUUUUGGAGGUGCAAAACAACUCAUGAAAUCAUGUGCAUAGCAGGGUGUCCAUCCCUGAGUGUGUUGGGCAAGGUGCAAUGCCAAACCGUAGUGGUGGUUAUUUUUGAACUGUCAAGUUGUUUGUAAGCAGGUGACUGCUUCUAGGCACAAAGGUCACUUUGUCUCUGGUUUUCUAGGUGCUACGGGUGACGCUGGCCACAACAUCCAGCGUUAGACUGGGAACAAGCGAGCAGAGCAUCACGAUGCUUUUGAGGAGGCUGUCAUUGCAGAUGAGAUCAGCAUUGACUGGCAUGAAACUGACGGAUGGCACUCUGUUUGCAGAUGAUGAAGAGGAACUGGGUGGGAUUACAGCAACAUCCUAGGUAGCCUAGGUGGUCUUUGUCAAGGAUGGAUUCUGAUCCCCAGCCCUCUGAAAGCUAAGUUGAGGGGCUGAUGCUAUCUUUGUGUAGGGUGGCAGGGAGGGGUCUUAAAUUCAGCAUAGCAGAGAGGGCAGUUCAGGAUAGGACACAUUUGGGCAGAGAGAGGGUCUGGGGUCCUUUAUGCAAAAAGUGAGCAUGUGCUGGGUAGGGAAUCUAGAUGGUAUUCCUAAAUGGAAACAAGACCUCUGAAUUUGUUAAGCUAUCGCACCGCAUCUGGGUGACUUAUUUGGUACUGAUUUUGCAGUUGCAGAGGGACAAGCUGUGCACCAAAGCGCAAUGGAGGAGGGGCGAGCAGAGCGCCGUAAGAAUGUGGGUUGGCGUGUGGUGUUGGAGGGAAGAUGUGACUGGUGUCUGUAUGACUAACUUAGAGAUACUGGGGUUUUUUGGUUGGUUUUUUUUUUUUUGAAGGUGUGAAGCAAUCGGGAUAUCGGCACUGGAGCUGAUUUGGUUAAGGUGAGCCAUGACUAGUGGGCUGAAGCAGCAGUUAUUUUUCAGGUGUUGUAUUGUUGGUGAAGUUAGAAGCAUCCCUUGUUGGUUCUGUCUUACAAGUGGUACCCAAGCCUCAGUGUGGUAACCUGUAAAUGGCAGAGGCAGGGCGGGUGAGCGGCCAAGGUUGUUAGCCUGGCCCUGUGUACAGGCUGCCGAGGUCAUCGACUCUGCAUGGGACACAGACGCCCUGGAGCGCUUUACACCAAGUCAUUCCUUUCCCCUUGGACAGCAGCAGUUCUGCUGUUGCAACAGGCAGCUGCUUUCUCAAGGGCAAGGAGCUGGGACAACAACAGGCUGCUGCACGUUCCAGUCAAAGAUGCUGUUCCCUGGUGACAGCUGAGGUACUUUCUACACUGCCCAUGGCUCUUCACAAGGGAACCAUGCUUUGGUUUUAGCAGAAAAAGCUGUCAGUCACAGGCAGCCACGUAUCACUGUGCACAGCUGUUUGGCAGGUGUCUUGCUUCUUCAAGGAGAGGUGUAUUUCUUGCCUUGUGGUCUUGAUGCCAAAACAAUCAGGGGUUCAAGUUACAAAAGCCUUUUGCUAUCAGAGCAAGAUGACAGCUAGAUUUCUAUCAGCACUGUAUUUCAGCUCUAUUACUAGCUGAAAAUGGCUUGCAGGCCAGGAGAUAUUUAGAGGAGUCUGAAUUAAACUGGGUGUUGAAGUGUUUGUUUUAAGGAGGCAAAUUAGGCAGCCAAAGGAACUGAGAUGCUCACCCAACAUGUUGGCAGAACAGCCUAUCCAGCCUACUAAGUAUUGCGUGCUGCUGGCAGCAAAGGGCAACUGGCACGCUUGCUGGCAAGGAGCGGCAAGGAGUGCAGAGCUAUGCUCAUGUACAGAGCAAAGAUGGAAACUUGUCCUGGUUUUGGCUGGAAUAAAGUUAAUUUUAUUCCUAGUAGCUGGUAUAGUGCUGUGU
Aquila chrysaetos chrysaetos is the source of this 3184-nucleotide long non-coding RNA. RefSeq lists it as uncharacterized. The record is from RefSeq and is a predicted model, not a curated record. The transcript has 3 exons. Lineage: Eukaryota; Metazoa; Chordata; Aves; Accipitriformes; Accipitridae.